CACGGCACGCGAACAUCACCCAGCCCACGCUGGACCUGGGCUCGGGCCGCGCGCUGCUGCUGCUGCCAACCGGGGAGGGUUUUACUUUUAGUGGGAUCUGCCGGGUGACUUGCAUCUAUGGCCAGGUGGAAAUAUACGGCCAUGUCAUCAAACAAGGGCAGCCUGCCCGAGAUGUUUAUUCUACCUACACCCACGCCUACCUGACCAUCAACGGGGUUGAGUACCCAGAGCCUGAGAAAAGUGAGAAGGAGAUCAGGAGAGAGAUCCGGGCUCUGCUCAAGCCUCACAUGAGACUGGAUGACAGAAACUGGGCAAUACAGAAUUUCCCUCCCCUGGGUUCCGUGGUACUGCUGGAGCAGCUUCGGACGUCUGCUGUAGACUUCAUGAGCUUCUACGCGUGUGCAUCUUAUGUCUUCUUGCAGGAGAAUACUCCUAUGCGGACCAAUGCUGAGUAUUUACUUUUGAAGAAGAUUGGCCUCAGAAGGCAGAGGAAGAAGAGAGGCAUCUGCUUGAGUGAGAGUGGCCUUUGUGCCCUGGAAGAGCUAGUCAGUGUGUGCUGCGUAGAUGGCUGCCCUGUGAUCCUGUUGUGUGGCCCUUGUGACAUUGGGAAGUCAACAUUCAGUAGAAUACUGAUUAACCGGUUACUGAACAGGUAAGCAUGCUUGUGUUUUCGCGUGGUCAUCGGGGCGUGAAGUGUGAUUCAAAUGGAGAGACUUGGUUUUUCUUUGAUCUUCUGAGGCAUGGUCUCGCUCUCUAGACCAGUCUAGCCCUGGACUCUUAAGUGAUUCUCCUGCCUCAGCCUCCCCAGUACUGUGACUACUGUUAUAAAGCGCCAUGCCCAGCUUGAUGGAGAGAUUGAGGGUGGGAUUGUGUUGAGCUCUGUGUGCUGUUGGCUGGGCACUCUUCAUUGUGGUGACAGUGCUCACAUAUGACCCUG
RNAcentral lists this long non-coding RNA (937 nucleotides) under Cricetulus griseus (Chinese hamster). RNAcentral describes it as "lncRNA (ENSCGRG00000024444.1)". The record is from RNAcentral. Lineage: Eukaryota; Metazoa; Chordata; Mammalia; Rodentia; Cricetidae.